This 529-nucleotide ribosomal RNA is filed under the name uncultured bacterium. RNAcentral's name for it is "partial 16S ribosomal RNA". It matches the Rfam family "Bacterial small subunit ribosomal RNA", at positions 28 to 523 of the family's 1533-position model. The record is from RNAcentral.
GAUGAACGCUGGCGGCGUGCCUAAUACAUGCAAGUCGAACGAAACUUCUUUAUCACCGAGUGCUUGCACUCACCGAUAAAGAGUUGAGUGGCGAACGGGUGAGUAACACGUGGGCAACCUGCCCGAAAGAGGGGGAUAACACUUGGAAACAGGUGCUAAUACCGCAUAACCAUGAACACCGCAUGGUGUUUAUGUGAAAGGUGGUUUCGGCUACCGCUUUCGGAUGGGCCCGCGGCGCAUUAGCUAGUUGGUGGGGUAAAGGCUUACCAAGGCAAGGAUGCGUAGCGGAACUGAGCGGUUGAUCGGCCACAUUGGGACUGAGACAAGGCCCAAACUCCUACGGGAGGAAGCAGUAGGGAAUCUUCCACAAUGGGCGAAAGCCUGAUGGAGCAACGCCGCGUGGGUGAAGAAGGUCUUCGGAUCGUAAAACCCUGUUGUCAGAGAAGAAAGUGCAUGAGAGUAACUGUUCAUGUUUCGACGGUAUCUGACCAGAAAGCCACGGCUAACUACGUGCCAGCCGCCGCCGUAA